AACGCACGAGACCUGCGGACCUGCGGAAGGAUCAUUACAGAGUUGCAAAACUCCCAAACCAUUGUGAACGUUACCUUCUCGUUGCUUCGGCGGGCGGCCCGGGUCCUUCCCGGCGCCCCCCGGCCCCUCGCGGGCGCCCGCCGGAGGUAAACCAAACUCUUGAAUUGUAUGGCCUCUCUGAGUCUUCUGUACUGAAUAAGUCAAAACUUUUAACAAUGGAUCUCUAGAUCGGAAGAGCAC
RNAcentral lists this unclassified non-coding RNA (240 nucleotides) under soil metagenome. RNAcentral's name for it is "partial contains 5.8S ribosomal RNA, internal transcribed spacer 2, and large subunit ribosomal RNA". The record is from RNAcentral.